CUAGUUGAUCCUGCCAAUAGUCAUAUGCUUGUCUCAAAGAUUAAGCCAUGCAUGUGUAAGUAUGAACUAAUUCAGACUGUGAAACUGCAAAUGGUUCAUUAAAUCAGUUAUAGUUUGUUUGAUGGUAUCUGCUACUCGGAUAGCCAUAGUAAUUCUAGAGAUAAUAUGUACAACCAACUCCGACUUCUGGAAGUGAUGCAUUUAUUAGAUAAAAGGUCGAUCUGGGCUCUGCCCAUUGUUUCGAUGAUUCAUGAUAACUUGACGGAACGUACGGCCAUCUUCCAGUGACGCAUCAAUAAAAUUUCUGCCUUAUCAACUUUUGAUGGUGGGAUAGUAGCCUACCAUGGCGGUGAUGAGUGACAGAGAAUUAGGGUUUGAUUCAGGAGAGAAAGCCUGAGAAACGGCUACCACAUCCAAGGAAGGCAGCAGGCACAAAUUACCCAAUCCUGACACGGGGAGGUAGUGACAAUAAAUAACAAUACCAGGCUCUAUAUAGAUCUUUAAAGACAGGGAUUUGAACCUCAAGCAGAGAUGUAUGGAGAUGAUUAAGGACUAUGAU
Molecule: ribosomal RNA, 559 nt
Organism: Cephalotus follicularis
Lineage: Eukaryota; Viridiplantae; Streptophyta; Magnoliopsida; Oxalidales; Cephalotaceae
Rfam family: Eukaryotic small subunit ribosomal RNA
Source: Rfam